UGGAGGAAUAUUGGUCAAUGGGCGCAAGCCUGAACCAGCCAAGUCGCGUGAGGGAAGACGGUCCUAUGGAUUGUAAACCUCUUUUGUCGGGGAGCAAAAGCGCGGUACGAGUACCGCGAAGGACGAGUACCCGAAGAAAAGCAUCGGCUAACCUCCGUGCCAG
RNAcentral lists this ribosomal RNA (163 nucleotides) under uncultured bacterium. RNAcentral's name for it is "partial 16S ribosomal RNA". It matches the Rfam family "Bacterial small subunit ribosomal RNA", at positions 354 to 511 of the family's 1533-position model. The record is from RNAcentral.